Molecule: ribosomal RNA, 484 nt
Filed under: uncultured bacterium
Lineage: Bacteria
Description: partial 16S ribosomal RNA
Rfam family: Bacterial small subunit ribosomal RNA
Source: RNAcentral
AUUGAACGCUGGCGGCAGGCCUAACACAUGCAAGUCGAGCGGAUGAAGGGAGCUUGCUCCUGGAUUCAGCGGCGGACGGGUGAGUAAUGCCUAGGAAUCUGCCUGGUAGUGGGGGAUAACGUCCGGAAACGGGCGCUAAUACCGCAUACGUCCUGCGGGAGAAAGUGGGGGAUCUUCGGACCUCACGCUAUCAGAUGAGCCUAGGUCGGAUUAGCUAGUUGGUGGGGUAAAGGCCUACCAAGGCGGCGAUCCGUAACUGGUCUGAGAGGAUGAUCAGUCACCUUGGAGCUGAGACACGGUCCAGACUCCUACGGGAGGCAGCAGUGGGGAAUAUUGGACAGUGGGCGAGAGCCUGAUCCAGCCAUGCCGCGUGUGUGAAGAAGGUCUUCGGAUUGUAAAGCACUUUAAGUUGGGAGGAAGGGCAGUAAGUUAAUACCUUGCUGUUUUGACGUUACCAACAGAAUAAGCACCGGCUAACUUCGUG